RNAcentral lists this ribosomal RNA (263 nucleotides) under uncultured bacterium. Its description in RNAcentral is "partial 16S ribosomal RNA". It matches the Rfam family "Bacterial small subunit ribosomal RNA", at positions 793 to 1055 of the family's 1533-position model. The record is from RNAcentral.
GUCCACGCCGUAAACGAUGGGCACUAGGUGCUUGGGGGAGCGACCCUCUGAGUGCCGGCGCUAACGCAUUAAGUGCCCCGCCUGGGGAGUACGGCCGCAAGGCUGAAACUCAAAAGGAAUUGACGGGGGCCCGCACAAGCGGUGGAGCAUGUGGUUUAAUUCGACGCAACGCGAAGAACCUUACCUAGGCUUGACAUGCUGGUGAAACCCUCAGAAACGGAGGCCUCUUCGGGACACCAGCACAGGUGCUGCAUGGCUGUCGU